This is a long non-coding RNA of Brassica napus (rape), 911 nucleotides long. RefSeq lists it as uncharacterized. The transcript has 2 exons. NCBI's taxonomy places the organism in Eukaryota, Viridiplantae, Streptophyta, Magnoliopsida, Brassicales, Brassicaceae. The record is from RefSeq and is a predicted model, not a curated record.
AUGCAUCCCUAGAACACCAUCUUCUAUUUUGUGAUUAUCUAAAAAAACUUAUGUGCAAAAUAAUAGCUAACACUUCUCUGUAAAAUAGAUAGUCAUCGUCUACACUCUUCGAUAUCUCUGUCUUCUUAAAUUUAUAUUGUUAAAUAAAUAAAAAAAAGUCGAUAAGAUUUUUCAAAGAUGCUCUUCUUCCUCUGUUCUUCUCAUUCUUCUCUGGGUUUGUUUUCUUGAUUAUAAAUAAAUUAUUGGUUCUUCUUUUUAAUGGUCGAAUUAAGCAAUUCCAUGACCACAUCGAAUUCCGUCAUGAUCACAGGAUGAAGAAAUUUCUUAGAUCACAAAUCUUCCUGCUGUUCAUCUGGAGAUGGGAAAGAUCAUGAUUCGGGAGGGUGAUGAAGCUGCGGCUCAGGAGGAUGAGAGGGUUGGGAAGGAACCUGAGGUAGAGAGGAAAAGAGACGCGGAACCAGAGUUUGGAAAGCAGUAAGAAGGAGGAGAAGCAUAAAGCUUUGAAGGAGAUAGAGAUGAUUAAUAGUGCUGCGUACAAGGAGAGAGAGAUACAGAAACAGGAAGAGGUGAAGUGGGCUGGUGAGGCAGAGAGGAAGCGUGUAGAAGAAUAAGAAGAGGAGACCCGAGAGAGCGCAGAGUGUCAGGCUGCAGAGUGAGAAGCUACUCAACUGAGAAUGAGCCAAGAGAGAGCACUUCCUCUUGGCGGAACUGAGAAAGGACCUUAUGCUACACAUGCUACAAGAGUCAGCAGAAGUUAUUUGAUACUUUGUCGAUGCUAGAUGAAGUCUUUGAUAAGUUCUUUGAAUCAUCAUAAACAUAUAUGCAUUACAUUUCUAUAUAGAUGAAUUAGAAAACAUGUUUUAUGUGUCUCAAAGGUGAAAAUAUAAUGAACAGAUUUUGAAACUGUUAAA